GUUUGGGAUAACUCCGCGAAAGCGGGGCUAAUACCGAAUAAGACCACGGGGACCAAAGUCCCUGAGGUAAAAGGUGGCCUCUAUUUAUAAGCUACCACUUGAGGAUGAGCCCGCGGCCCAUUAGCUAGUUGGCAGGGUAACGGCCUACCAAGGCGAUGAUGGGUAGCUGGUCUGAGAGGACGAUCAGCCACACUGGAACUGAGACACGGUCCAGACUCCUACGGGAGGCAGCAGUGGGGAAUAUUGCGCAAUGGGCGAAAGCCUGACGCAGCAACGCCGCGUGGGGGAUGAAGGUUCUCGGAUUGUAAACCCCGUUUCGACCGGAACGAAUCUCCUCUUGGUGAACAAUCAGGAGGAUCGACGGUACCGGGAGAAGAAGCCACGGCUAACUCUGUGCCAGCAGCCGCGGUAAGACAGAGGUGGCGAGCGUUGUUCGGAUUUAUUGGGCGUAAAGCGUACGCAGGCGGUUUGGUAAGUCAGAGGUGAAAGACCACAGCUUAACUGUGGCACUGCCUUUGAUACUGCCUUUCUAGAGUGCAUGAGGGGGUAAGCGGAAUUCCGAGUGUAGAGGUGAAAUUCGUAGAUAUUCGGAGGAACACCGGUGGCGAAGGCGGCUUCCUGGCAUGUAACUGACGCUCAUGUACG
RNAcentral lists this ribosomal RNA (645 nucleotides) under uncultured bacterium. Its description in RNAcentral is "SSU rRNA". It matches the Rfam family "Bacterial small subunit ribosomal RNA", at positions 136 to 755 of the family's 1533-position model. The record is from RNAcentral.